GGGGAAUAUUGCACAAUGGGGGAAACCCUGAUGCAGCGACGCCGCGUGAAGGAAGAAGUAUUUCGGUAUGUAAACUUCUAUCAGCAGGGAAGAAAAUGACGGUACCUGACUAAGAAGCCCCGGCUAACUACGUGCCAGCAGCCGCGGUAAUACGUAGGGGGCAAGCGUUAUCCGGAUUUACUGGGUGUAAAGGGAGCGUAG
This 201-nucleotide ribosomal RNA is filed under the name Salmonella enterica subsp. enterica. RNAcentral describes it as "partial 16S ribosomal RNA". It matches the Rfam family "Bacterial small subunit ribosomal RNA", at positions 356 to 574 of the family's 1533-position model. Lineage: Bacteria; Pseudomonadati; Pseudomonadota; Gammaproteobacteria; Enterobacterales; Enterobacteriaceae. The record is from RNAcentral.